AUCUGGUACUCGUGCGAGGAACAGCUCGGUGGCCCGGGUGUUCCUCAACUUCCCCUUCCCUCAAACCUGUCUCAUGUGGUGAGGACAGGGACCCGAGGACACAGCCAUUUACACACAGAAACGCACAACUCCUCCAGCAACACAGAAAGGGCUCAUUGCCGCACAGUAGAGUCAUCCACAGGCUUCCAGAGCACUGUGCAAGCGCGGAUGAAAGUUCUGAACUCCCCCUCUUCUGGCAACAACCAUCCUCAGGACUUCUAGGUCUCUGA
RNAcentral lists this long non-coding RNA (269 nucleotides) under Meriones unguiculatus (Mongolian gerbil). RNAcentral's name for it is "lncRNA (ENSMUGG00000010947.1)". Lineage: Eukaryota; Metazoa; Chordata; Mammalia; Rodentia; Muridae. The record is from RNAcentral.